Molecule: long non-coding RNA, 217 nt
Filed under: Lathyrus oleraceus (garden pea)
Lineage: Eukaryota; Viridiplantae; Streptophyta; Magnoliopsida; Fabales; Fabaceae
Description: Pisum sativum (pea) long non-coding RNA (PSAT_LNC003381)
Source: RNAcentral
AUGGUUGUUAGAUGAUAGAAUUUUGUACUUAUACUAGUGAACAUUUUAUAUUUAUAAGCUAAUAGUUUAGUUUUUUUUUUAUGUUUUUUCUUUAAACUUUUAUUUGGAUAGUUGUGUUAUUCAUAUUAUUUAAAACAUGGUUUUUUUAGAUUGCCUCGACAAAAAGAUGAGUAAAUUAUCUAUUAUGACGUGGAAGCACUUAUAAGUAGACAAGUAU